GCCGGAGGGAAACCGAGUCUUAACCGGGCGUUAAGUUGCAGGGUAUAGACCCGAAACCCGGUGAUCUAGCCAUGGGCAGGUUGAAGGUUGGGUAACACUAACUGGAGGACCGAACCGACUAAUGUUGAAAAAUUAGCGGAUGACCUGUGGCUGGGGGUGAAAGGCCAAUCAAACCGGGAGAUAGCUGGUUCUCCCCGAAAGCUAUUUAGGUAGCGCCUCGUGAAUUCAUCUCCGGGGGUAGAGCACUGUUUCGGCUAGGGGGCCAUCCCGGCUUACCAACCCGAUGCAAACUGCGAAUACCGGAGAAUGUUAUCACGGGAGACACACGGCGGGUGCUAACGUCCGUCGUGAAGAGGGAAACAACCCAGACCGCCAGCUAAGGUCCCAAAGUCAUGGUUAAGUGGGAAACGAUGUGGGAAGGCCCAGACAGCCAGGAUGUUGGCUUAGAAGCAGCCAUCAUUUAAAGAAAGCGUAAUAGCUCACUGGUCGAGUCGGCCUGCGCGGAAGAUGUAACGGGGCUAAACCAUGCACCGAAGCUGCGGCAGCGACACUGUGUGUUGUUGGGUAGGGGAGCGUUCUGUAAGCCUGUGAAGGUGUGUCGUGAGGC
This 607-nucleotide ribosomal RNA is filed under the name Salmonella enterica subsp. enterica serovar Enteritidis. RNAcentral's name for it is "partial 23S ribosomal RNA". It matches the Rfam family "Bacterial large subunit ribosomal RNA", at positions 665 to 1269 of the family's 2925-position model. The record is from RNAcentral. Lineage: Bacteria; Pseudomonadati; Pseudomonadota; Gammaproteobacteria; Enterobacterales; Enterobacteriaceae.